AAGUCGUAACAAGGUUUCCGUAGGUGAACCUGCGGAAGGAUCAUUAACACGUAUCCACGUAUCAACCAAUGAGAACCAUUUUCCCGUCUCCCUGUGCAAAGAAUGAAUUGGAACCAGUUUGAGGGAGUGAUGGGACUGAAAAGUCGGCCUUCCUGGUACACUUAUGCAGAUAGAAAUAUUUGCAUAGACAAUUGGAUUUUUGCAGAGGCUAUUUCUUAUCGCUUUGAUCUCCAUCAUGAUCGUGGCGGUAGGGAAACUUUCACUUUAUUUACCUUUUUUGCUAGUUGACUUUUUAUAUGUGUUAUUUUGCGAAAGCAAGGUGGCGCACGUUUAUUAAUUGAACGUUAAAAAAUACAACUCUUAGCAAUGGAUAUCUUGGUUCUC
Molecule: unclassified non-coding RNA, 384 nt
Filed under: fungal sp.
Lineage: Eukaryota; Fungi
Description: partial internal transcribed spacer region
Rfam family: Eukaryotic small subunit ribosomal RNA (bases 1-46)
Source: RNAcentral